UAUAUAUAUUUAAGUAUUAUUUAUCUAGAUUUCUAAGGUGAGUUCAGGGGGGAAAGAAACCUCCCAUGGAGCAGAAGGGCAAAAGCACGCUUGAUCUCCACUCUCAGUACAAAUGCAGACUGUGAACGCGGGUUUCAAUGACCCUGCUGACCUUUUGGGUUUUAAGCAGGAG
This 172-nucleotide non-coding RNA is filed under the name Loxodonta africana (African savanna elephant). RNAcentral describes it as "Eukaryotic large subunit ribosomal RNA". It matches the Rfam family "Eukaryotic large subunit ribosomal RNA", at positions 2634 to 2802 of the family's 3401-position model. Lineage: Eukaryota; Metazoa; Chordata; Mammalia; Proboscidea; Elephantidae. The record is from Rfam by way of RNAcentral.